RNAcentral lists this ribosomal RNA (300 nucleotides) under uncultured bacterium. RNAcentral describes it as "bacterial SSU rRNA". It matches the Rfam family "Bacterial small subunit ribosomal RNA", at positions 399 to 691 of the family's 1533-position model. The record is from RNAcentral.
GCGUGCGGGAAGAAGGCCUUCGGGUUGUAAACCGCUUUUGUCAGGGAAGAAACGAGUUUCUCUAAUACAGAGACUUAAUGACGGUACCUGAAGAAUAAGCACCGGCUAACUACGUGCCAGCAGCCGCGGUAAUACGUAGGGUGCAAGCGUUAAUCGGAAUUACUGGGCGUAAAGCGUGCGCAGGCGGUUAUGCAAGACAGAGGUGAAAUCCCCGGGCUCAACCUGGGAACUGCCUUUGUGACUGCAUAGCUAGAGUACGGCAGAGGGGGAUGGAAUUCCGCGUGUAGCAGUGAAAUGCGU